UCAACGAGCAACAACGAAUACAAAUCAUUUAGAAAAAGAAGCCACACGAAAAAGUGGUCUAAAGUGCAUAUAAAAAAAGUGAAGUGAUUAUUAAAAAAGUAUAUGUGCAUCAGCUAACUAAUCAGCUCAAGAAACAGAAGAGAGACUUCAAAUAAAUUUUAGAAAUGCAGAUAAUACAGCAGAAAGAUGCAGAAAGGGUUCUCAAGAAAAUUGGAUUGUCAAGAUGCAGCCUUACUCUGGGCCCUACAUGGGUAUUUUGUGCCUUUCCAAAAAGUUGUGAGAAAACACAAAUAGGGAAAGAAACGUUCACGAGGUUUACUAUCUUGAUAAAUUGCAAUUAAAUUACUUAUUGAUAAAUGAACUAAACUACAAAAAAUAAAAAUUAUAAAAUUAAA
This is a long non-coding RNA of Eupeodes corollae, 395 nucleotides long. RefSeq lists it as uncharacterized. The transcript has 3 exons. The record is from RefSeq and is a predicted model, not a curated record. Lineage: Eukaryota; Metazoa; Arthropoda; Insecta; Diptera; Syrphidae.